AUAUCACUAAGCGGAGGAAAAGAAAUUAACUAAGAUUGCCUCAGUAACGGCGAGUGAAGCGGCAAAAGCCCAAACUGGAAAUCCCCCGUGCAUCCGCGCGGUGAAUUGUAAUCUAGAGGACUUAAUCUCAAUUGGGAGUGACGCAGAACUCCCCAGGAACGGGGGGCCAGAGAGGGUGACAGCCCCGUAUGUGGUGUCACUCCCUAACGAGAUGGGUUCCAGGAGUCGGGUUGUUUUGAAUUGCAGCCCUAAUGUGGGGGAUAGACUUCCUCCAAGGCUAAAUAUUUAUGGGAGACCGAUAGCGCACAAGUA
RNAcentral lists this ribosomal RNA (312 nucleotides) under uncultured eukaryote. Its description in RNAcentral is "partial large subunit ribosomal RNA". It matches the Rfam family "Eukaryotic large subunit ribosomal RNA", at positions 40 to 350 of the family's 3401-position model. The record is from RNAcentral.